RNAcentral lists this ribosomal RNA (253 nucleotides) under uncultured bacterium. RNAcentral describes it as "partial 16S ribosomal RNA". It matches the Rfam family "Bacterial small subunit ribosomal RNA", at positions 524 to 776 of the family's 1533-position model. The record is from RNAcentral.
GACGUAGGGGGCGAGCGUUGUCCGGAUUUAUUGGGCGUAAAGCGCGCGCAGGCGGUUCGGAAAGUCGGGUGUGAAAACCCGGGGCUCAACCCCGGACCUGCAUCCGAUACUCCCGGACUGGAGGCAGGUAGGGGAGAGCGGAAUUCCCGGUGUAGCGGUGAAAUGCGCAGAUAUCGGGAAGAACACCGGUGGCGAAGGCGGCUCUCUGGGCCUGUCCCGACGCUCAGGCGCGAAAGCUAGGGGAGCGAACAGG